This 321-nucleotide ribosomal RNA is filed under the name uncultured bacterium. RNAcentral describes it as "bacterial SSU rRNA". It matches the Rfam family "Bacterial small subunit ribosomal RNA", at positions 85 to 422 of the family's 1533-position model. The record is from RNAcentral.
CGCAAGGUGAGUGGCAGACGGGUGAGUAACGCGUGGGAACCUUACCCUGUGGUACGGAAUAACUUCGGGAAACCGAAGCUAAUACCGUAUAUCUCCUCUGGGAGAAAGAUUUAUCGCCACAGGAUGGGCCCGCGUUGGAUUAGCUAGUUGGUAGGGUAAUGGCCUACCAAGGCAACGAUCCAUAGCUGGUCUGAGAGGAUGAUCAGCCACACUGGGACUGAGACACGGCCCAGACUCCUACGGGAGGCAGCAGUGGGGAAUAUUGGACAAUGGGCGCAAGCCUGAUCCAGCCAUGCCGCGUGAGUGAAGAAGGCCUUAGGG